UCCCAACUCAGGAGAAGGUAAUAAGCUAACUCUAGUUAGUAGUUUCAGAGUAUAUGUUUUUAGAACUUAACGUUGAAAACUUUUUUCUGAAAAUACAGAAACUACUUUUUUAUUGCCAAAAUUGUACCUAUACUGGCACAUGCGGCUGGGGAUAAAACUAUGAAUUCCGCACAGAUUUUCUAUAAUUGGCCCAACUUUUUGGGAUGGAAAGAGAGCAAAGUCUGUAGCUUGAUAAAAAUGGAGUCAAGUCCUGUCUCUACCAUUUAUUAGCUGCUUUCCCUAAGAUAUAUUUUCAUCCUUCAUUCAUUUAUUACCUAAAGAAUGAGUGGUAAGAAUAAGAGUACAAAGAUGAGCAAAGCACAGCCUCUACCUUCUGAAUUCACAGUAGUCCGGGGACAGAGGGCAUUGUGACAUAAGCAGUGAGACCACUGCCAAGUACUGUGUGGGAUGUGUUAGGAAUUCAGAGAAAGACUUCUGCGUGAUCUGAGGGAUUACAGAUGGCUGCCCAGGCAGGUGAUCUCCAAGAUGAGCCUUUGAAAGGAUUAAUGCCAGAACCCGGAAGGAAGCUCCCCCACCACCAUCCCAAGCUCCUAGGGCAGAGAAGGUGAGCCAAUCCCAGAACACGGAAAGAACACCAAGUGCUCCCAAGAUGCAGGAGGCUGGAGAAGAUACCAGAAAUCGAACUCAGGACCUUGCACUUGCCAGGCAGCUGCGGCACUGCUGAGCUAAAUCCCUGGCCCUGAGUAACUCUUUUUCUAUACACCUAGUGGCCUUUCUUAUUUUCUUAGAAAAUUAGUUAAUGCCACACAAAAGCACAAGAUGGCCUUUACUUAAAUAUGUUUUGGAUGAGAUAGCAUUAUCAACAACUGUGUCUGCCACAAAAGGCAUGUCUUGCCAAACAGUGGGCUGGUGAUACAGGUCACUCUGAAGUACCCUACUGCUCUUGGAGAAAGGCACGUUGCAUAGAGGGUGUGACAGACAUCUGUGCCACGGGGGUAGUAUCAGUUGAGGGAUGUAUGAUGCCAAGGAUAUUUCACUAAGCUGCACAACGCCGAGAGAUUCUGCUGUUACUGAAAAAGGACAUGUGAUGCUCCAUUUAAUACUUACUAUCAACACUGUGACUUUCCAGUUCCUAACUCCUAAGGACAUCCAGUGCUCUGGUGGUUUCACUAUCAAGGCUUCAGCAGUUCUCCCCCGGAAGUCUCUGUUGGAGUCAUGGACACUCGGGCGAGCUGGAUGUUCCUACUAAGCAAGCGUUUGGCUAUGGUGGAGGACGGUGAAAGACAAGCAGGAAGGGAAGACAGAACUUCGUAUUAGUUUGCCACGACUGCCUUAACAAAGUGCCACUGAUCCAAUAACUUGGACAACAGAAAUUUAUUGUCUCGUGAUUCUGGGGGCUAGAAGUUCAAGAUCCACAGGUUGCUAGGUUUGGAUUCUCCUAAGAUGUCUCUCCUUGGCUUGUAGCCAGCAGUCUCCUCUAUGGGAUUAUGCAGUCUCCAUUCUGUACAUGGCGUCUGAAUUCCCUCUUCUCAUGAGGACAUCAGUCACACUGACUUAGGAUCACCCUCGUGACCUCAUUUUAUCUCUUCAAAUACUCUGCAAAUCAGUCACAUUCGGAGGUACUGGGAGCUAAGGCUUUCAACUAACUAAUCCAGGGGACACUAUUUGGCCCAUAAGAGGAUUGAAAUGUAUUGUUCAGGUAAAUCAUUAACAGAGGAAAUGGUCUCUGGAAAUCUUAAGCAGAACUGAAUAAGAGAGCAAAUAAAAGUGAUAAUGGAUUUAG
This is a non-coding RNA of Heterocephalus glaber (naked mole-rat), 1783 nucleotides long. The record is from RefSeq and is a predicted model, not a curated record. NCBI's taxonomy places the organism in Eukaryota, Metazoa, Chordata, Mammalia, Rodentia, Bathyergidae.